RNAcentral lists this long non-coding RNA (208 nucleotides) under Mytilus galloprovincialis (Mediterranean mussel). Lineage: Eukaryota; Metazoa; Mollusca; Bivalvia; Mytilida; Mytilidae. The record is from RNAcentral.
CCCCUUUUUUAAAGUAAUUUUAACAUAACUUUUGGCUUCAUAUAGGAGCAGAAUAACACGAGACUAUGUCUACUAGUCAAAAUUAAACAAAAAAUGUAUUUGUUAUUUGCAUACCGGUAUGUUGAUUGCUGGGUAAAAUUUAUUCUCAUUUCAUUCUGAAAAUGUGUUAUUGAAAUAAUAUGUUAAGUUUGUUCAAAUUUAUGUUUUU